GCUAUAGGGCUUGAUGUGAUAUUGACUUAGUACAUACUGAUGCUUAUGGUAUAUUUGGCUCAUGCUAAGCCAAUAGUAUAUGUCAAAAAUUGUAGAGAUAAAAUUGAUAAGAGUUAUCUAUCCUUGAACUCAUAGAAAUUUGUUGUGCUAUCCACAAGACUUUUUAUAAGGAAUGAAGAUCUCAACCCCACUAAGAAAUCUAACGACAAGGUUUCUCAUUUUCUAUACUAGAGGGCUAUAGGAUUUACUAAAUAAGUGAGAGACAUGAUUAGAUAAAUGAUCUCAUCUAAUUAUGUAUGUCAUCAUGAGUAGUUCCUUUAUAUUUUAUUCUUAUAGUUUCAUCUGCAUCUUCACUAUCACUGCAUGGUUUAUUUGAUGUCAAUAAAUUGAUUGGAUCAAACUACAUGGACUGGUUGAGAAACUUGAGAAUAGUUCUCAUCUAGGAGAAAGUCUCCUAUAUCCUUAAUGCUUCUGAUCCCAAUCCGAUCGAGAAU
Molecule: long non-coding RNA, 494 nt
Filed under: Elaeis guineensis (African oil palm)
Lineage: Eukaryota; Viridiplantae; Streptophyta; Magnoliopsida; Arecales; Arecaceae
Description: long non-coding RNA (EGUI_LNC077329)
Source: RNAcentral